GAUGCCAACCAAGGGGCUCUGGAGAAGGUGCCAACCACCCCUCUUCUCCCCCCACACCCCAAGGUCAACCUGGGAGUCUUCAGCCGGCCUCCCACAAAGCAGGCUCCUCCCUCAAGAAGCCUCACCGGCCAGCAGGAAUUAACCACAGCAUAACUCAGGACCCAGCGCACCAACGCAUUUAUAUAUCCCAAGGGUGGACCCCGCCCCGCCCCUCCACCAAUCAGAAUCCUCCUGGAGAGGGGGGCGUGGCUUGCCCCUCUCCCACCACUUCUACCUGUGAAGCCAGUCACCACCUGCCUUGCAGCUGCGAGGUAAAAGUUUUCCCAAAGCUUCCUCACCCAUAAGAGGGGCAGGACCACUGGGCCCCGGGGCCUGAAACCCCUACAGGACAAGAAGCUAAAACAUCCUCCUUUCUCCCACCACGCUGUACUUGGGAAUAAACCCAAGGGCUCUCUAUCACUGAGCUAUACCCCCAGCCCUUUAUUUUUUGAGACAGGGUCUCUCUAAAUUGUUGAGGCUAGUCUCGAACUUGAGAUUCUCCUACCUCAGCCUCCUAAAUUGCAGAGAUUACAUAUGUAGGUGUUGUUAGUAGCUUUACUUCACAAAGGAAGAAGCAACCACUAAAAUGCAGUGUUGUCUCCAGAGAGGUUAAGUAAUUUACUUCCAGUCACACAGCCAGUAAACAGAAAGUCAAGUUUCCACCUAGCUGUCUGGCCCGGUCUUCACAAAGGGAUCUGAGGGUCCUUCAGUCUGUUUCAAGACUGAUUCUGAACAAAGCCUGACCUAGAGAAGGUUUUGAGUAAAACCCAGUAGUGAACCCCAGACCGGCUGUGUUCACCCCAUCUCCUGUCUACUGAUAAUGCUAGAGAUCAGUAGAGAAUGCAGAAAAGAAGCCCUAGGUUUGUAGGGUAUGCAGCUUGGUGGUAGAGCAUUAGCCUGACAUGUGUUGGGGGUGGCGGGGAGAAGAGGAGGGAGGAGAAAGAAAAGAAAAAAGUCUGUUGAUUAAGUGCAGACUCCUCAGCAGUAGUGUGUUCCAGUCUGCAACCUUCUUCCCCCUUCCCCGGCUUCUCGUGUGAUUUUUCCCACUAGGAAGUCAGGCUUGUCAUGUAAGAAUAAAAGAAAUUGAAGUUAAAGUGUAAAAGACCAGGCAUUGUAAAGUUUCUAAGCUGCAAGGCCUGAGUUAAAAAGUAAAGGACCAGGUAUUGUUAAGUUCCUAUGCUACACCCAAAACCUGAAAUUCCUGUAGCUGUUAGGACAAUACCUGGAACUGCCCAGUAAAUAUUCCCCCUGACCAUCUGGUUGUUUAAUAACCUAGGACCCUGUGCGGCUUGGCACGUAGGCAUUGCAGGGCCUAAACCAAUCAGUUUGAAUGUGUACCCCGAUUUAGAACUGACCUAUCACCCCCACCCGACCUGUUCCCGCCAAUGAAUGUACUAAUCAUGUCUAAGAAUUGUUGUUUGAUUUUCCCGUGCCUCAUGAUGAUUUGCUCUGAUGUAUGCAAGGCCCCCGCCCUCCCCAAAAAGUGUACUUAAGCACUGCUCAACCCCUGCUCAGGGCUUUGAGCCGCUCUCCCUUGUUGAGUGAGCACGGAGCCCCAGCGUGCCGGAUUGGAUCCUCAAUAAACCGCUUUUGCUGUUGCAUGA
This 1643-nucleotide long non-coding RNA is filed under the name Marmota monax (woodchuck). Lineage: Eukaryota; Metazoa; Chordata; Mammalia; Rodentia; Sciuridae. The record is from RNAcentral.